CUGAGUAACGCGUGAGUAACACACCCUUCGGUGGGGUAUAGCCUCGGGAAACUGAGGGUAAUCCCGCAUACGAUCCCAGUGCCUUGGUGUCGGGAUGAAAGCCUUCGGGCGCCGGAGGAGUGGCUCGCGUCCUAUCAGGUAGUUGGUGAGGUAACGGCUCACCAAGCCGAUGACGGGUAGCUGGUCUUAGAGGACGAUCAGCCAGAGGGGGACUGAGACACGGCCCCCACUCCUACGGGAGGCAGCAGCAGGGAAUUUUGGGCAAUGGACGAAAGUCUGACCCAGCGACGUCGCGUGGGGGAUGAAGGUUCUAGGACUGUAAACCCCUUUUCCGAGGGAAGAGGAAGGACGGUACCUCG
Molecule: ribosomal RNA, 359 nt
Filed under: uncultured Chloroflexaceae bacterium
Lineage: Bacteria; Bacillati; Chloroflexota; Chloroflexia; Chloroflexales; Chloroflexaceae
Description: bacterial SSU rRNA
Rfam family: Bacterial small subunit ribosomal RNA
Source: RNAcentral